RNAcentral lists this non-coding RNA (148 nucleotides) under Papio anubis (olive baboon). The record is from Rfam by way of RNAcentral. Lineage: Eukaryota; Metazoa; Chordata; Mammalia; Primates; Cercopithecidae.
GCUGGGCAUGGUGGUGCACACCUGUAAUCCUAACUACUCAGGAGGUUGAGGUGGGAGAAUUGCUUGGGCCUGGGAGGUCGAGGCUGCAGUGAGCAGUGAUCACACCACUGCACUCUAGCCUGGGCAACAGAGUAAGAUCCUGUCUCAA